Molecule: ribosomal RNA, 881 nt
Filed under: Pseudomonas sp. 8H-G10-170A
Lineage: Bacteria; Pseudomonadati; Pseudomonadota; Gammaproteobacteria; Pseudomonadales; Pseudomonadaceae
Description: bacterial SSU rRNA
Rfam family: Bacterial small subunit ribosomal RNA
Source: RNAcentral
AGUCGAGCGGAUGAGUGGAGCUUGCUCCAUGAUUCAGCGGCGGACGGGUGAGUAAUGCCUAGGAAUCUGCCUGGUAGUGGGGGACAACGUUUCGAAAGGAACGCUAAUACCGCAUACGUCCUACGGGAGAAAGUGGGGGAUCUUCGGACCUCACGCUAUCAGAUGAGCCUAGGUCGGAUUAGCUAGUUGGUGAGGUAAAGGCUCACCAAGGCGACGAUCCGUAACUGGUCUGAGAGGAUGAUCAGUCACACUGGAACUGAGACACGGUCCAGACUCCUACGGGAGGCAGCAGUGGGGAAUAUUGGACAAUGGGCGAAAGCCUGAUCCAGCCAUGCCGCGUGUGUGAAGAAGGUCUUCGGAUUGUAAAGCACUUUAAGUUGGGAGGAAGGGCAGUAAGUUAAUACCUUGCUGUUUUGACGUUACCAACAGAAUAAGCACCGGCUAACUUCGUGCCAGCAGCCGCGGUAAUACGAAGGGUGCAAGCGUUAAUCGGAAUUACUGGGCGUAAAGCGCGCGUAGGUGGUUCGUUAAGGUUGGAUGUGGAAAGCCCCGGGGCUCAACCCUGGGGAACUGGCAUCCAAAAACUUGGCGAAGCUAGAGUAUGGGCAGAGGCGUGGGUGGAAAUUUUCCUGGUGUAGCGGGUGAAAAUGCGGUAGAUAUAGGGAAGGGAACACCAGUGGGCGAAGGCGAACCACCCUGGGGCUAAUACCUGACACUGAAGGUGCGGAAAGCGUGGGGGAGCAAACAGGGAUUAGAUACCCCUGGUAGUCCACGCCAGUAAACGAUGUCGACUAGCCCGUUGGGAUCCUUAGAGAUCUUAGUGGCGCAGCUAACGCAUUAAGUCGACCGCCUGGGGAGUACGGCCGCAAGGUUAAACUCAG